Molecule: ribosomal RNA, 265 nt
Filed under: uncultured bacterium
Lineage: Bacteria
Description: partial 16S ribosomal RNA
Rfam family: Bacterial small subunit ribosomal RNA
Source: RNAcentral
AACGAACGCUGGCGGCAUGCCUAACACAUGCAAGUCGAACGAGACCUUCGGGUCUAGUGGCGCACGGGUGCGUAACGCGUGGGAAUCUGCCCUUAGGUACGGGAAUAACUCAGGGAAACUUGAGCUAAUACCGUAUAAUGACUUCGGUCCAAAGAUUUAUCGCCUAAGGAUGAGCCCGCGUCGGAUUAGCUAGUUGGUGAGGUAAAAGACUCACCAAGGCGACGAUCCGUAGCUGGCUGAGAGGAUGAUCAGCCACACUGGGACU